AAUGGGUCCACUAGUCAAAUGGGUCCCAGUGCAUGUAAUAGUUUAACUCAUGUUAACUAGCAGUAACCUUCACAAGACAGCCUCAAAGGAACCAUCAAGUCAACUCAUGUUUAUAGCUAAUAGCAGCAAGUGUAUGUAUUUGUUUAACUCAUGUUAACUAACAGUAACCUUCACAAGACAGCCUCAAACGAACCAUCAAGUCAACUCAUCAUACAACACAUUUACAGCUAACAGCAGCAAUACAUCAUACGUCACAGAGAACGGUUCACAGAAACCGACAAACUAAACUAGAGGCACAUCAUAAGCGCACAAGCAUGGCUGCCGCAGCAGUUUGUUUCGCUAGUAAAGACAGCGACUUUCUUCCUCGACCAGACAACAGCCCAGCUCACAUCCUCUACCUCCUCACAGGAGGCGCGCCACCUCGUCUCCUUCAACAGGGGGAUCACCACCACGUCCACCAGCAGCCUGCAUGAAGCAGAACAUGAAAAGAGCAACAUCUAAUUAACUUGAUUGCCUUGCAGAUGACACACAAGAUGAAGUGCACUUGGACAGAAGCUACAAUACUUGUGGCUGUAAUUAACCUAAUCUAAUCUAAUGGGAACAACAUCACAAUUCACAAGCAAGCACCCAUACUCUCGAAUUCAGUAUACAGUUGCCAACUGAAAUAAGUUCAGUUGAAAGCAGAGCAGAGAACAAGAAGGAUCAGCAGAGAGCUCACCAUGGAUGUCAUGUGGCCGACGUGGAAGAGGCAGCAUGUCCAUCCAAGCAGGAUCAGCAGCACCAGCGGACGGGCCACUCAUUGUCCUGGAUCUUUGCCUUGACAUUGUCAAUUCUGUCAGAGGACUCGACCUCAAAUGUGUGAUGGUCUUCCCGGUGAGAGUCUUCACAAAGACCUAUAUCUGAAUAGUUGAGAAACAGGACAGGUCAGGCAUAUAUGGACAAAUCAAGAAGGAAACAAGACAAGAACAUAAAUAAUAUAAAUCUUGCAAGUUGCAAGAGAUACGCAUAGUUGGAAAUUGCAAACAAAGCAAAAUAAAUCAACAUGGUAGAGGCGUAUACAAAUAAAUCUACAAAUUCAUGAAGCAAUGUGAAGUGGUCGAUCUAAAUGUAGCACAUUAAUUGUAAGUCUAACAUACAAAUGUAGUACUAUGUCAUUUCAUCAGAUACAGUUCUGUGGCUGAGGAUGUCACUGAAACUAAGCAGUACCCUCAAAUGAAAUAGUUCAAACUGCUUUGUCUAUAUGUCUUCUUAGAUCUCAUGCAUCACUACGAAAUACAGUAGUUUCAAAACAAGAUUCAGAUCAGAAUAUGUUUACACUGUUCAAGUAUACUAUAUGUUUACACUGUUCAAGUAUACUAUAUGUUUACACUGUUCAAGUAUACUAUAUGCACCAGAAUGUAAUCAGGUGCAUAUGUUGCCAGACAGAGAUGCCAUCUGUAUAUACCUGGAAUCAAUCACAAGGUAUAGGGAGGGAAUUAGUCACAUGUAUUCUUACUAUUACUGCUAGGUUGCUAGCUAGCUGC
This 1523-nucleotide long non-coding RNA is filed under the name Triticum aestivum (bread wheat). RNAcentral's name for it is "long non-coding RNA (TAES_LNC018599)". Lineage: Eukaryota; Viridiplantae; Streptophyta; Magnoliopsida; Poales; Poaceae. The record is from RNAcentral.